GCUAGGGUGGCAUAGUGGUUUGAGUGUUGGACUAUGACUCUGGAGACCAGGGUUCGAUUCCCACUCAGCC
Molecule: transfer RNA, 70 nt
Filed under: Phrynosoma platyrhinos (Desert horned lizard)
Lineage: Eukaryota; Metazoa; Chordata; Lepidosauria; Squamata; Phrynosomatidae
Description: tRNA-OTHER
Source: RNAcentral